This 577-nucleotide ribosomal RNA is filed under the name uncultured cyanobacterium. RNAcentral's name for it is "bacterial SSU rRNA". It matches the Rfam family "Bacterial small subunit ribosomal RNA", at positions 152 to 761 of the family's 1533-position model. Lineage: Bacteria; Bacillati; Cyanobacteriota. The record is from RNAcentral.
GGAAACGACUGCUAAUACCCAAUAUGCAGGAAUGUGAAAUAAAUUUUGCCUGAAGAGGAGCUCGCGUCCGAUUAGUUAGUUGGUGAGGCAAGAGCUUACCAAGGCGGCGAUCGGUAGCUGGUCUGAGAGGAUGAGCAGCCACACUGGGACUGAGACACGGCCCAGACUCCUACGGGAGGCAGCAGUGGGGAAUUUUCCGCAAUGGGCGAAAGCCUGACGGAGCAAUACCGCGUGAGGGAGGAAGGCUUUUGGGUUGUAAACCUCUUUUAUUAAGGAAGAAGAAAGUGACGGUACUUAAAGAAUCAGCAUCGGCUAACUCCGUGCCAGCAGCCGCGGUAAUACGGAGGAUGCAAGCGUUAUCCGGAAUUAUUGGGCGUAAAGCGUCCGCAGGUGGCUCCUCAAGUCUGCUGUUAAAGACAGAAGCUUAACUUCUGAGCGGCGGUGGAAACUGGGGAGCUGGAGUACGGUAGGGGUUGAGGGAAUUCCCAGUGUAGCGGUGAAAUGCGUAGAGAUUGGGAAGAACACCAGUGGCGAAGGCGCUCAACUGGACCGUAACUGACACUCAGGGACGAAAGCU